GGGCUGAAAUUUUUGCACCUGGUGGCAGCGUUUCACUUUGGCUGUCCGUGUGCUUCAGGCACUGAGAGAUCGGUAUCAGAGAGCCUCUCCUUCCUGGCAGUGAUCUCAUGGUCUUACCCCUCUGUGUAGGUUCCCCUUUCUGCCUGCUCUCCUGACUGUGAUUCAGGGACGUGUUGAGGGGAUUCUAAGAUGAGUGCAGGGCAGGCGGUGACUGAAAGACACGUGGGGGAAUGCUUUGCAGGACCUCGGAAAGGAAAUGGGGAAGGAAGAAAUGGUGAAAAUGGCUCCUUUACCUCACCAGCUUUUCAUGGGAGGAGGGACUGGAGAUGCACCCAGGAGCUGCAAGGAAUCCUGAUGGAUGCAGAGGAGGAGCACUGUGAAAAGGACAUCCUGAAACCUGAGUGUGACCAGCCUCUGCUGCAUGCCAGCCUCUAGCCUGCAGAGCCAGGCAGGGCUGCUGCCAGCCCCAGGGAGUGUCUGACUCCUCUCUGCAAGCAACAGCUGACCUUUCAUGGCCUUUGAACUGCCAAGGUCUGCUCUAAGCAAGGUGCUACAGAAAUAACCAUCCCAUCUCCCAGUAAGUACAUGCCUCUUUGUAUGGUGCUUGGCAGCCCCUGCUCUGCCUCUUGCCUAGCAUCUCAGAGAGGGGAAGGAACACCAAAAAAAGCAGCUAAAAUGCAAAUUACUGCACUGCUGAGCUGGCUGGAUGUGGAAAACAAUCUGUCUGUGAUUCAAAGCACAGGUGCAGUCACAAAGUUGGAAUUCAAAACAAGUCCGGUCAAGCUCAGCAAGCGAAGUGCUGUGGGCACACAGCUCUCAGCUGUGCUUGGCUGCACCCAUGCACGAGGGAGCACCUCUGUAGCUGUGGGUGCGAGAGCUGCCCCUGCAGUUGUGUCACAGCCUUGUCUUGGAGGUGCUGGGCAGCUUAACGUGGGCUGAAGGUGACAGACUGUGAGAGUGCAAGGUGGGACACAGGGAAGCAGUACUGGCCUGACUCCCAUGCUACAGCUGCCAGGGCCUCCAAGGGAAAAAAAAACACUUUGAAUCCUGAGAAGAGCUUUGGGAAAGAGUUUCUUCAGGUGAAUGUUAUUACCCAGAAAUGGAUGAGCGUAUUUCCUGUCCUUGCUGACAGUGUUGUCUUCUUGUUAUUCUCAAGUUUCUGGACAGCAGCCACCAUCUGCUGGCAGGGCUUUGUAGCCACCAGAGCCAUGCUGCAGUUCAGCGCAUCCGACCUGUGACCUACAAACAGCCCAGCGCCACUCACAGCACUGCUGUGCCAUCGUGGCUCUGUCCUGGGACACGAGGAGGGCACAUUGUGCUGACAAAUAAUACAGCAGUGUGCUUAAUUUACAAGGAAAUCGUGCCAGCUUCCGAAGAUUGAAAUCUGAAAGGGCAUUAAUGCAGAAAUGUGCUGCCAGAUUCGAUGCGUAUCGAGGAAAGCUUUGUAAAGACAGAACAGCUGAACUGAAAAAAAGUCUGCAACCUCAACUACAUGUCUUUCAAAAAAAAUUAAAACUCAAAUGGGCUCGGUUACAAAAGCUGGAGACGUGGUAGCAAAACUGACUGCAAAAAACCUCUAACCAUUGACUGUUUAUUAAUGAUGUAUCUGCCAUGCUUGCCAUACAGGGUGUCCUGAUUAAGAAAAGGGAUUUCUCUAACAUCAGUUUGUCCCACCUGACUGGCCAGGUGAACUGAAGAAACAGGAAAAUCUAUCUAAGGAAAUUUGGAACGUAAAGCUGCUGGUUUCUAAUGUUUUGCUUUGGCAAUAGAUGAAAGUACUCAUGCUGCAGAUAUGGCUCAACUUGCCGCUUUCCCUAGACCAACUAAUAACAAAUACAGUAUCACUGAAGUAACAACUUUGGUGCCACUGAAGAUGCAACUCAAUCUCUUGAUUUGUAUGAAGCAGUAAAAAAUUACAUUAAAAAGCGUUUCUCUUCCACCUUUGUCAGCAUAUCUGGUGCAGCUCCUGUUGGUGCCCUGGCAAUGGUUGGUGAAAAGAAAACAGCCAGGGACUUACAGUUAAUAGGAGAUAAAGAAACUGCUGUCAGUUUGAUGAAACAUCACAGCAUUGUAUGUCCAGAAAAUUUGUGUGCAAAAGCUUUAAAGACGGGUAACACUGUGCAAAUUGCCAUCAAAGCUGUGAAGUUCAUAAAGCCCAAGGGACUGAAUCAUGGCCAGUUCCAGGAGACCAUUAAAAGAAUGGCUGCUGUUUGUGGGGACAUCAUUUCAGAAGGAAGGAAGGUGACUGAGUGGGGGUAAAAUGCAGAAAUGAUAUUAUGAUUUGUUGAAGUGAAAUCAAACACUUUAUGAAAUUCCCCAAAGGGGAAUUUGCACCACAGCAUGAGGACAGAUAAUGGUCACAUAUUCAGCAUUUUUAGUGGUUUGACCACUCAUUUAAAGGAGCUAAGCACGUGUCUUCAAGGUGAAAAUGAACUCACCUGUGCUGUUUCAGACAGUAACAGCUUUUUAAAUGACACAAAUCGUGGCAAACCCAACUGAUGGCAAUGCACUUCAUGCAUUGUGAUCCACUGACUAAGCAGCCUGUGAACAGCAAAAUAUAUGCAUCCAUACGUUCUGUUGCAAUAAAGGGAUUUGGGAAUAGGUUUCAAGAGUUCAAAAAAAAUUUUUAAUAUUUGUAACUCCAGUUUCAGUUGAAAUAAAGACAUUACAUGUGAA
Centrocercus urophasianus (Greater sage-grouse) is the source of this 2676-nucleotide long non-coding RNA. RefSeq lists it as uncharacterized. The record is from RefSeq and is a predicted model, not a curated record. NCBI's taxonomy places the organism in Eukaryota, Metazoa, Chordata, Aves, Galliformes, Phasianidae. The transcript has 2 exons.